Salvia hispanica is the source of this 533-nucleotide non-coding RNA. NCBI's taxonomy places the organism in Eukaryota, Viridiplantae, Streptophyta, Magnoliopsida, Lamiales, Lamiaceae. The record is from RefSeq and is a predicted model, not a curated record.
CCCGAAGCAAAGGACCUCUACCGCAGCCUCUGCCUCAUACACCCCUUCACCACCUUCUGGAGCUUAUAAAGGAACAAAAGGAGGAAAGGCCAUUUGUUUCAGUGCUUGUGAAGAUUAUCAACUCGCUGCAGAUACAACACUUUUAUCAUCAGAGAGGGAAAUGACCGGUGCCAUGACCAUCACAUUCAUAAAGGCAAUCAAAGAAUCACAAGAAAGAAAAGAGAAGAUAAGUUACAAGGGUACCAUGGAUGCUAUUCAUGAAAGCAUCAAGCAAGCCGGUAAAUCGGGAGGCAUCUUUGCCGGAAUAUGCCGGAAAUUCCACCAGAGAAUCUUGCAGGAUCCAUUGUUGUCAUCUACUAAAGAGUUUAACACAAACACUGAGUUCAGUCUGUGAUAAUGGUUAAAGUAAAAUGUCACAUUGAAUUUCCUUUCUUCUUAGUAAUUACUACCUCCGUCCCCCAAAAUUUGCUACACUUUGAUCCGACACGGGUUUUAAGAAAUGUAAUGGAAAAUGAGUUGAAAAAGUUGGUGUG